GAAGAAAUGCUCCCUGGGGUUCACUCUACAGUAGGGGAAGCUGAGGCUCAGAGAGCAAAAGGGAUCAUCCUGAAGCCACCCAGCAAGGACGGCUGAGUGGCAGGUCCAAGCUUCAGGAAGAAGCCAAUUUGCAUCUUGGGAAAGAACUGAGUGUCAGGCCGAGAGCUUCUGCAGUAAUGUUUGUUCGUGGCCACCCUGCCUGGCCCCUCUGCUCCGAUGGGGAUCGUCAGUCUGUCUGCUAUGACUGUUCUGGCGGCGGAUGCACCGCUCCCCUGUCCUCUCAUCGUCCUGCUCUUGCCUUGGGCCUGGAAGGCACCUAACAAAUCCUGCUGUGUGUUCACCCAGAGACCCCACCUGGACCCCGCACUCCUGGGAGGUGCCCAGUUAUUCUACAGGUAUGGGGCUCUCUUUCCCUCAGAGUCCAGUCUUCGUUGUUCCAAGCCUUUCGAGGACCCAUGUCUCAUGGCCACCUGGGAUCCCCAUACCUCGAUCACGUGGC
RNAcentral lists this long non-coding RNA (499 nucleotides) under Equus asinus (donkey). Its description in RNAcentral is "lncRNA (ENSEASG00005034310.1)". Lineage: Eukaryota; Metazoa; Chordata; Mammalia; Perissodactyla; Equidae. The record is from RNAcentral.